CAUUUUAAAAUUGGAAUCUAGAAUAUAAACCACAGAAACAAUUAUCCAUUUAUUUCGAACCUGUUUAGGGAGGUAAGUUACGAAAAGAGAUAAAAACAGCUUGUGAAGGUAUCGGAGGCACCUCCAUACUGAUGCUCAUUUUAUUCUAUUAGUUAAAGAGAAACUAGAGGCAGUCACACUAAUUUGAGGUUCAGCCUGCCCCUGACCACUUUCUUUCUAUCUAAACAAAAAGAAACGCGUGGAAGACAAAAAGAUCUAAGAGGCUUGGCACACUUCUGUACAAAUUCAACCAAGAAAUGUAGUUCUCUUUCUUAUAGACCAUUAGAAUAAAUUAAUACCUUCCCAGAUAGUUAAGGGAGACUUUUUUGUUGCAUUGAUAUAUUACUUGGAAAAAAGGAAAAAUGUGCCCCUUGUUUCUACUUCAUGCUUUAUUGUUAAACCUCUGUCUGCCUUUUGUUCCACUGUCACCCUGUACCUUGGAUGUUCCUAGAUGCCAAAAUUCACAAGACAAUGUGCUGCCUAUUGUUAAACAUAUGCCUGCCUCCUUGGUUGCCACUGUGUUGACAUUAGUACCUUUGCCCCGAGCACCCAGCUUAAAGAGGUUUCUGUUGCAGCUCAGCUCCUACAAUGAUUUGUACCUAUUGACAGGAUCGCAGAUAAUUAGCAUUGGUGGCUUGUCAGCUGCCACUGAGAUCACUCUGAUUCUCUGUGGAAAAUAUCCACAAGAGCAGACACUUUUUCACUAGGGUUUCUAGAGCAAAUUAUAAUUACUUCUUUUUUCAAAUAAAAGAAAACAUUUCUUCCAUCACUACUGUGUCUUCAAGCAGUGAAAAACAAAUGGUAUUUCAGAUAUUUUUCCCUCCAUCCCCUAGCCACGUUUCAUUUUGAAGACCCACAGAUUCUUACACCAAUGCCCUAUUCGAGACUACAUGGCUCUGUUUAUGAGCUUCCUUUUCAUUCAUGUUAUUUUUUUCACCAUGUGUAUGAUUUGAGACAUUUAGGGAUGCUGCUAAGUACUUGAGGUGCUGUUUGAAAUUGACAGAGACUUCUACUAACUGUCAGGGUUUUCUAAGAGGUUCAGGCUGCUUUUUCAAAGAAGACUAAAAAUAUGUAUGUAGAUUAAUGGAAAUUGUGUUAUUUUUGCAAUGUAGAAUGCUAUUUUCAUUUUUUUAAAAAAAAACAGAUUUCUGUUCCCAUUUAAUUCUGCUUGUGUCACCUUUCUAAAAUCAUAAUCUUCCC
Molecule: long non-coding RNA, 1239 nt
Filed under: Homo sapiens (human)
Lineage: Eukaryota; Metazoa; Chordata; Mammalia; Primates; Hominidae
Description: HSALNT0343033
Source: RNAcentral